Molecule: ribosomal RNA, 253 nt
Filed under: uncultured bacterium
Lineage: Bacteria
Description: partial 16S ribosomal RNA
Rfam family: Bacterial small subunit ribosomal RNA
Source: RNAcentral
UACGUAGGGGGCGAGCGUUGUCCGGAUUUAUUGGGCGUAAAGAGCGCGUAGGCGGUGCGUUAAGUCCGCGGUGAAAUCUCCCGGCUCAACUGGGAGGGUGCCGAGGAUACUGGCGUGCUGGAGGACGGCAGAGGAAGGUGGAAUUCCCGGUGUAGUGGUGAAAUGCGUAGAGAUCGGGAGGAACACCAGUGGCGAAAGCGGCCUUCUGGGCCGGUCCUGACGCUGAGGCGCGAAAGCGUGGGGAGCGAACCGG